Mya arenaria is the source of this 504-nucleotide long non-coding RNA. RefSeq lists it as uncharacterized. Lineage: Eukaryota; Metazoa; Mollusca; Bivalvia; Myida; Myidae. The transcript is spliced from 3 exons. The record is from RefSeq and is a predicted model, not a curated record.
CAUCUCAAGAUGCUCUUGGUGCAUCAACAGAAGAUCAGAAGUGGACCAUGCUUAUCUUGAUGCUACAGGGAACAAUGGUACAGUUGCCCCAUCCACUGUCAUCUCUGAACAUGCUGAAGGGCUGCCUGAAGCCAGGAACUUUCAGCGUUUAACAGAGGAGCAAGGCCAACUCCUAAGAAAAUGUCGAAGUGUUCAACAUUACUAUGAGACGGGAACUGAAGAUGAUAGACUGUAUUAAUUCAAUCAAAAGCCACAAGUGUUUGAAUUCUCUGAAGUGGAAUUAAAUAAAAAAACAACACAUUACACAGUUGGAUAACGACAGAUUGCACACUGAAACAAUAAUAAGUGUUCAAAGUGCUAGUACAUCUUGUACAUAGUGUCAAGGUGUCCAAGCAUGUCUCUGUAAGCCAAUGGUUCACUGCAUAUGAGGUUAAUUUAUAUCUUACAGUGGAUUGCAGCAAAAGGCCAGAGGAAAAUAUGUUUUGAUACUCAUCCGUAUUUUGA